Non-coding RNA from Callorhinus ursinus (northern fur seal), 165 nucleotides. The record is from RefSeq and is a predicted model, not a curated record. Lineage: Eukaryota; Metazoa; Chordata; Mammalia; Carnivora; Otariidae.
ACCAGUGGUCACCAGAUAAGCAGGGAGUAAUUUUUCCUUGUAACUAUACUGCUCUGGUUUGUGUCCUCUUUUAGGCAUAAUACCAAAAGACUUCCCUAAGGUGAGCUCAUUUCUGCUAGUGAACAAUCUAGCUUCCUCAGCGCAGACGUCUUUCUCCUUUCUGAG